ACUCCUACGGGAGGCAGCAGUGGGGAAUUUUGGACAAUGGGGGAAACCCUGAUCCAGCCAUCCCGCGUGUGCGAUGAAGGCCUUCGGGAAGUAAAGCACUUUUGGGAGGAAAGAAACGUCGCGGGCUAAUACCCCGCGGAACUGACGGUACCUGCAGAAUAAGCACCGGCUAACUACGUGCCAGCAGCCGCGGUAAU
Molecule: ribosomal RNA, 197 nt
Filed under: uncultured bacterium
Lineage: Bacteria
Description: partial 16S ribosomal RNA
Rfam family: Bacterial small subunit ribosomal RNA
Source: RNAcentral